This 303-nucleotide ribosomal RNA is filed under the name uncultured bacterium. RNAcentral describes it as "partial 16S ribosomal RNA". It matches the Rfam family "Bacterial small subunit ribosomal RNA", at positions 507 to 809 of the family's 1533-position model. The record is from RNAcentral.
AGCAGUAGCCGCGGUAAAACGUAGGGCGCAAGCGUUGUCCGGAAUUAUUGGGCGUAAAGAGCUCGUAGGCGGUCUGUCGCGUCUGGUGUGAAAUCCCGAGGCUCAACCUCGGGCUUGCAUCGGGUACGGGCAGACUAGAGUGCGGUAGGGGAGACUGGAAUUCCUGGUGUAGCGGUGGAAUGCGCAGAUAUCAGGAGGAACACCGAUGGCGAAGGCAGGUCUCUGGGCCGCAACUGACGCUGAGGAGCGAAAGCAUGGGGAGCGAACAGGAUUAGAUACCCCUGUAGUCCCUGUCUCUUAUAA